CCCUGGGCAUUCCCCUAACUUCUGGGCAGAAUUGUGGAGCUCUGUCUCCUACCUGCUAGUACUGGUCUGGGCUGUUUGGGCUCAGAGAGCUCAUAGGCUAAAUCAGGUACCAAAAAGUGGUGCAGACAUGAGGAAUGGGUUUGUGUUAAAAGUGCUAGAGGGAAAACCUGAAUCCUGAUUACUUUGGUGGGACUGUUCUGCAUGUGAAUAGGAGAGCUCCUGUCUUUUCCUUAUGGGGUGCAUCUGAGAAGUCACCAACCGCAGAACACUUGCGUUAUUACCCAGCACCGUCAGCUUCGCCGUCUCGAUGGGACGAUGCAGAGCUCAGCCUAAAGGUCUUCAGCUCCCAUGGGCCAUGGAAAGAAAGAUUAAAGCAUCUCUGAGUUCUUCUCAGAAGCGAUUUUUAAAUUAAUGGAAACAGCUAUGCAAAGAGGAAAAACAAUCCUUGGGAAAGAGAACACUGUUCUACAAUGCACUGUCACUUCUUUCUCCUAGAACAACUCUUACCUAGCAAAGGGCAAACUCCCAGAACACAAAGCCCCUUACAUAAGUAGUUUUAACAUUUUUCAUGGCUGUGGUGUCAUGAUUAGCAUUGAAAAUAACAGAGUAGAAGUG
This is a non-coding RNA of Zonotrichia albicollis (white-throated sparrow), 615 nucleotides long. NCBI's taxonomy places the organism in Eukaryota, Metazoa, Chordata, Aves, Passeriformes, Passerellidae. The record is from RefSeq and is a predicted model, not a curated record.